Molecule: long non-coding RNA, 1049 nt
Organism: Macadamia integrifolia
Lineage: Eukaryota; Viridiplantae; Streptophyta; Magnoliopsida; Proteales; Proteaceae
Exons: 3
Source: RefSeq, a predicted model, not a curated record
UAGACCCUGUGGGCUUCUCUAUUGGUGGGUCGAGAUAUAAGGAACGCACCCGCUUAAUUCCAUGAGGGCGUUGUUCCAUUUCUAGGUCUGCCUGGUAUCUUGGCAAGUGCGUGGCUCACCAGUGAGAGGCAGUGUGAUACUCUCUGGUGCUACACCUUCCACCGAGGCACAUGUUACAUACUGAGGUGUUGUCCCAUGACCGCAUCACUGAUGGGAUGAUAGGUUACCCUACCUCAGGUUUCUAUGAGUCAGAAUCUUGGAGCCAAUACCAGAAGUUCAUGAUCACGGAGGGUUUGUGUCUCCACAUCACUCUAGAGGGCUAUAUGAUCACCACGAGAGGAUCCCUUUUGCUUUUGCUAUUGUUGAUGCAUCGUCUUAGGCCACCUCCACUAAGCUUUCCGCGAGGCCUACGAGUGGAGCCGGGGCUCAAAGCAUCCCCAGGGUGAUGUGCCACUAGCUGGGGUUGUCCUCCCACGGUUCCUUGGUUGGGAUUUUUGGGGUGGGGGUGUUCGAAUCAGCAUCCCUCUUCCUAGGUUGCCUUUGAUUACGGUUCCCACCCCCAAUGCUUAUGCAACAAGUGUGACGGCCUCAGGUCAAUAAUCGAUGUAUAUGAGCAGUUAUUGAGGAAGGAGAUGGCUGCCCACCACACCACGAUAAUUCCCUCUUCUCUUCUUGUACUUGUACCUACACUGUUAGUUUUCUAUUGUACUAACACAAAAAUGUAUGCAUGCUGAAAGCAGAGCUAGAUGCUACAAGGCUGGAUAUCAUGGGCUAUCUAGCCACGAUCUGAAAGCUACGAGAGAGAAUCGACGUGGGCACCUCAGCUGCUAAUGGAGGGAGUGGGAAGGCUACCGUUGAGAAUGAUGAUUCAGCCUCCCGUUUGGAAGUGAGGAGGAGGGUAGCUCUGAAGAGGAUGCCAGGAGGGAGCAGAGGUCUAAGACUUAAAAGGACUCCGACUAGCUUUUUUUCUUUUUUGGUUGUUCAAAUUCACGACCACUCGGUCAUUUUUGAGAAACUUUUGAAAAUGUAUAAUCCAUUCAGUCAUUUUU